This 365-nucleotide long non-coding RNA is filed under the name Brachypodium distachyon (stiff brome). Its description in RNAcentral is "long non-coding RNA (BDIS_LNC001115)". The record is from RNAcentral. Lineage: Eukaryota; Viridiplantae; Streptophyta; Magnoliopsida; Poales; Poaceae.
CUUAGGGUUUACACCCAUUUGUGCUUUGGAUCUUCAAACCAAUAGGUUUUAUGUAUAAAAGGGGUUUAAUGCAUAUAUAAGCUAUCCCAUAAUUUUUGGAUAAUUCUUUGGAGCUGAAAAAGUAUUUUAUUUAAAUAGAUAUAUAGCCCUAAGGCAUUUAUAGGGCAAAUGUAUUUUUAUGUAUUUUAUUUCGAGGGGAAAUUACUCCCAAAAGUUGAAUCAUGGUAGAACAUGAUUUUAGAAAUUUUCUAGAAUUUAUUUGGACCAAUUUGGAGUUCAAAAUCAAAAGAUAUCAAAGAAAUAAGAAAAGCAGAAAAAGAAAAGGGCUAAAAGAAAAAAAAGGGGAAAACCGGACCGGCCCGGCC